GGGCUUGACAUCCCACGAACCUGCCCGAAAAGGUGGGGUGCCCGCAAGGGAGCGUGGAGACAGGUGGUGCAUGGCUGUCGUCAGCUCGUGUCGUGAGAUGUUGGGUUAAGUCCCGCAACGAGCGCAACCCUCACCCCUAGUUGCCACCGGGUUAAGCCGAGCACUCAAGGGGAACUGCCAGCGUCAAGCUGGAGGAAGGCGGGGAUGACGUCAAGUCAUCAUGCCCCUUACGCCCUGGGCUACACACGUGCUACAAUGGCUAGUACAAAGGGACGCGAGACUGCGAAGUGGAGCUAAUCCCAAAAAGCUGGUCUAAGUUCAGAUUGCAGUCUGCAACUCGACUGCAUGAAGGAGGAAUCGCUAGUAAUCGCGCAUCAGCCCGGCGCGGUGAAUACGUUCCCGGGCCUUGUACACACCGCCCGUCACACCACGAAAGCUGUCUGUACUCGAAGUCGCUGAG
RNAcentral lists this ribosomal RNA (460 nucleotides) under uncultured Methylomirabilota bacterium. Its description in RNAcentral is "bacterial SSU rRNA". It matches the Rfam family "Bacterial small subunit ribosomal RNA", at positions 977 to 1434 of the family's 1533-position model. The record is from RNAcentral. Lineage: Bacteria; Methylomirabilota (SeqCode).